Long non-coding RNA from Macaca mulatta (Rhesus monkey), 4206 nucleotides. The record is from Ensembl. NCBI's taxonomy places the organism in Eukaryota, Metazoa, Chordata, Mammalia, Primates, Cercopithecidae.
AUGUCUACCGAAGGCGCUGCAGCCCUCUGCCUUCUCUUCCAGAAUGCCCUCCCCAGCAACCGAACAAUGACUCCAAUCAUGCCAGCGAGCUCCGCAGACUCCAGAUGUCACAGACCGGCUGGGUUUCCAGCAACAUCCCAGACCAUACACCACCCAACCAGGGUGAAAAGGAUGAAAAUAGCUCCAGGUAAGCAGAGCGGGAGGAGGGAUGUCAAUGUUCAAAUGGGACCUGAAUCAACCGCAGAUUCUGUUGUCAUUGGCCUCACCUGGGGACCCAAGGACAUUUGUGUGAGAUGGAGAGGGAGGGAAAGAAUUCCCACACAGCUGCUGGGUGGGUGCUGACUAAGCACAGAGCUGCCCUGGGAGAACACGCGGUGCUGGCAAGGAAGAAUCCCCGCCAGGCCAGGCAGCAGACAGACUUUACCUCUCCAUCUCCAUGUCCUCAUGUGCAAAAUAAAAAGAAGGAGCCAGACGUUUAGGUAUUAUAAGUAGAUAUAGUAACAGCAAAUGCUUACAUAGUGCUUACAACAGGGCAGCCACCAUCUGGCUGAGUUUUUAUUCACUCAAUUAUCAUGACAGCCCUAGAGACGGUAGGUUAUUUUCCCCACCUUGCAGAGUUGAUAAAAGUUGUGUUUAAACCCAGAUGGUUAGAUCCUAUAGCCCAUGCUUUUAACCAUUACAUCCUGCUGCCUGCCUAAGUAUAAAACCUCUACAUGAGGCUCUCAGUUCAUGAACAAUCUGGGGUGGGGGAAGUGUUUUUAAAGUGUCAAAUGAAAUUCUUCGAGGCUCUCCACAACUUAAGCCUGGGCUCAUAGAAAUAAAUAGCUCUGUUGUUCUUUCAGGUGUCUGAAAUCCAUGAUAGGAUACAAAAAUAACAAGAUCGAGAGUACAACAGCUCUCUCCUCUGAGCUUUUAACAAUCUUAAAGUGAGUCACAUGUUGGCUUUUAAAUCUAGAUUGUAUCCUUAAACUAAAAGAGUUGUUUAGACAAUGGGGCUUUUGGCAGUCUCCUAGCAAAACCGGCCAAUUACGUGAACCCCAAAUGCCAAGCUUAUCUGGUUUGCAAAAGCCAUUCAGAGACUUAAGUGCACUGAUUUAGGUAAUUUUACAAGGGAAUCUUUUUUUUUUUUUUUGAGACAGAGUCUCGCUCUGUCGCCCAGGCUGGAGUGCAGUGGUGCGAUCUCAGCUCACUGCAAGCUCCGCCUCCUGGGUUUACACCAUUCUCCUGCCUCAGCCUCCCGAGUAGCUGGGACUACAGGUGCCCACCACCUCACCCAGCUAGUUUUUUUGUAUUUUUCAGUAGAGACGGGGUUUCACCAUGUUAGCCAGGAUGGUCUCGAUCUCCUGACCUUGUGAUCCGCUCGUCUCGGCCUCCCAAAGUGCUGGGAUUACAGGCUUGAGCCACCACGCCCGGCCUACAAGGGGAUCUUAAGAUGAAAUGUAAGCAUGAGAAUUUCUAUCCACUCUCGUCUGGUUCCCCAUCCUAAUAUAUCAAUCAGUCAAUGAACUGCUGACAUUUGCAUAAUACACUGGAUAGAUCAUGAGGACCAAGACUGUACCAUAAACAGCAAUUUUUAAAUUUCAGUACCUAAUUUUUACUUGCUCUCUUUUUCCCAAUUCAGUUUCUUCUAAAACAAACAAUGAAUUUAAUAAGCGUACUCUUAGGUGAAUUUUUUUAGUUCAUAAUGACUCAGAAAUCCAACUGCUUAGAUUUUCUGGGUCAGUGUUUUGCAAGCCUGUGAUGUAUAUAAGAAUCACCUGGGCACCCUUGUUAAACUGCAGAUUCUGGUUCAGUAAGUCCAGGAGGAGGUGGGAGGCAGGGAGCCCAGUGUAGGGUGCUGAGAUCCUACAUACCUAGUAACUCCCAGGUAAUGCAGAUGCUGCCAGUCCCCUAACACAUUCUGCAUGUCUAGCUCUUAGACCACACUGAAUAGACAGGAAGAGACAGGGAGGAGACAGUUCCCGGCAGUGGCUUUAGUGACAAACCAACUUGACUAGGAGUCCUUUGUAACGUGAUUUUAAGGGCUUAAUUUGGGAAGCAUCCCCAACUUACAAAAACGAACGCUGCCACCUAAAAUUUUAGUCAGAAAAAUUAUCCCUUCAUCUUCUCAAAUAAGAACACCUCAAGAAGAGAGGCAACAAUUGAUUCCAGGAUUUGGCCAGGACCAGAAUUGAGAGCACUCCGCAGUGUUUGGGAACAUUGUGGAGGGAACUGAGGGAUGUGGAAUGGGGAGGGACCAAGAAUAUCUGGAAUGAGGACUGAGCCUGGGGGCCAGAGGAGACUCACAGGUGUACUGAACCUUCCACAGGUGACAGGAGGACCCUGGCUGAAGGGCAGUCACACUGUGGGCUCAUAGUCCUGCCCAAUUUUCCUGCCUUUUGGAGGUGGUUGAACAUGAAGCCUCAAUCAGGCUUUCCUGAUACAGAGGGAGAACUAAAUUUAGAGCCAGGGAGACUGCAUGAAGCUUCUGAUAAGAAGGGAAAAGCAGCAGCAAGGGAAUGAACGCCAGGGAGGACAAAUGGCACAGCACGUAAGAGCACAGGCUCUGGAUGCAGGCUGCCCGGGGCCACAUCUGCCUCAGCCACCAGCAAGCACACAUCUCUAAAAGGCUGGUUGUCAGCAAGUGGAUAAAGAAAAUAUGGUACACAUACACCAUGGAAUACUACUCAGCCUUAAAACAGAACCAAAUAAUGGCAUUUGCAGCAACCUGGAUGGAGCUGGAGACUAUUAUUCUAAGUGAAGCAACUUAGGAAUGGAAAACCAAACAUCGUAUGUUCUCACUUCUAAGUGGGAGCUAAGCUAUGAGGAUGCAAAGGCAAAAGAAUGAUAGAAUGGACUUUGGGGACUCAGGGUGCGGGAGCGGAGCAAGGGAUAAAGACUACAUAUUGGGUACUGUGUACACUGCUUGGGUGACGGGUGCACCAAAAUCUCAGAAAUCACCACUAAAGAAUUUAUCCAUGUUACCCAAAACCACUUGUUCCCCAAAAGCUGUUAAAAUAAAAAAUAAAUGAAAGUAAAGGGCUAGUUGUUUAGCCACUGUGUACCCUGCCUUCUCAGUGGUCAAAGGUAAUGUGAAGAAAGAAACUGGUGGUAUCUACUCUAAUAUCUACUCUCAUUUUUUUGUCUUAUGACAGAACUCAAAUAUUUGCCUGUGCUACAUUGUGACUGGGAAACAAUAAGACUGCAUUUCCCAGCCUCUCUUUGCAGCUAGAUAUGAAUAUGUAACAUGUGAGUUCUGACCAAUGAAAUGUAAGCAGAAGUAUUGGGAUUUCUAGGAAUAAAAGAAGAUGGCCCUUUUACCCUCCCUUCCUGCUUUCUGCUACCUGAAACAGAGAUGUGAUGACUGCAGCUACUGCUGCUAUCUUGGACCAAGAAGUAACCUUGAAGUUACGUGCCAAGGAUGGUGAAGGAGAAAGGUAGACGUCUUGUUGACACUGUGGAGCCAUCGAAACAACAGUGGCCUGGCCCACCUCCAGACGUUUUGUUUUUCACAUAGGAGAAAAACUCGAUUUUUUUUUCUUUUUAAAUAAAAAACCUCCAGUGGGCAGAAAAAGAAACCCUUAGUCUUAUCUAAGCCACUAUUGUUCAGGGCAUUCUGUGUAAGCAGCUGCACCAAAUACUACCUGAUACAUGGGUAUAAUGUGAAGUAACUGCUUCUUUUUUUUUUUUUUUUUUGUAAGAACUAAGUGAAAGAAUGUAUGUAAAACUCCCAGUGCCCUUCCUUCCAAACACACAGUAAGUCUCAGUAUUGUUCAUCCUUACUUUUAAGUGAUGGAGAGGGUCAGAGCUUAGAAUGACAACUUUGAGAGCUGAAAGGGAACUUCGUCACCAGCAAUCCUCACCCCUCAAUUUUAAAAACGAGAUGCCUGAGUGCUGGAAAGGCCAGGGGCUUGCACAGGGCACCCCGCCUGGUAGAGGCAGCUCAGGUCUCCUCAUGUCUGUUCCAGGCCCUUUCUCAAAGCAGAGAGUAUGGAGCGGCUGACACGAGAGGGAAUCGAUGAAGUCAAGAGGCAACCCCUAAGUAAUAGGACAUCUCCCACACAAAAGCCCUGAGGGGGAGCAAAUGUUUAAUUCUGAGGUUCCUCAUUCAAACAAAAUCCAUCUAAAUUUGAUUAUAUACUAAACUAUCAGGAAGCAGGGAGUCGGGAGGAGGCAAGGCAUAAAGAGAUCAGGCUUGGCUUUACAACCAGUUUUGCAGUAUUUGUG